AUACGGAGGAUGCAAGCGUUAUCCGGAUUUAUUGGGUUUAAAGGGUGCGCAGGCGGCCAUUUAAGUCAGCGGUUAAAUCGUGGGGCUCAACCCCAUUCUGCCGUUGAUACUGGGUGGCUUGAUUGCGGUCGAGGUUGGCGGAAUUCGUUGUGUAGCGGUGAAAUGCAUAGAUAUGACGAAGAACACCGAUUGCGUAGGCAGCUGACCAGACCGCAAAUGACGCUCAUGCACGAAAGUGCGGGGAUCGAACAGGAUUAGAUACCCUGGUAGUCCGCACAGUAAACGAUGAAUACUUGUUUUCGGCGAUAUAAUGUCGGAGGCAAAGCGAAAGCGAUAAGUAUUCCACCUGGGAAGUACGCCGGCAACGGUGAAACUUAAAGGAAUUGACGGGG
Molecule: ribosomal RNA, 392 nt
Filed under: uncultured bacterium
Lineage: Bacteria
Description: partial 16S ribosomal RNA
Rfam family: Bacterial small subunit ribosomal RNA
Source: RNAcentral